RNAcentral lists this non-coding RNA (133 nucleotides) under Streptomyces abyssalis. The record is from RNAcentral. Lineage: Bacteria; Bacillati; Actinomycetota; Actinomycetes; Kitasatosporales; Streptomycetaceae.
GAGGAAGCCGGUGCGAAUCCGGCGCGGUCCCGCCACUGUCACCGGGGAGCGCACCCCCAACCGACGGCCACGGCCCACAUGUUCGACGGGCUGGAAGGCCGGGGGACGCAGCGAUCCGGGAGCCAGGAGACUC